ACUGUGUAAGAAUUUCUCCCACCUAGUGGUAAAAUUCUAUGUAACAACCAACUGUAUAUUACUUUCUAGCCCUUCCCAUUCCGAGCGCGUUUCAACUAAACCCGAAAUUAGCUCUUAAUAUCUCCAUCACUUACACACAGCUGUUCUAGUCAAUCCAAUAUUAACUUUGGUCUUGUUGCUUUGCUUGUCGCGUUGUCAUUUAAAUUCUCUUUUUCCCUCUUGGCUGGCAUUUGUCACAGUGCCACUGAGUCUAAAAGUGCAAAAUAAGG
This is a long non-coding RNA of Etheostoma spectabile (orangethroat darter), 269 nucleotides long. RefSeq lists it as uncharacterized. The transcript is spliced from 3 exons. NCBI's taxonomy places the organism in Eukaryota, Metazoa, Chordata, Actinopteri, Perciformes, Percidae. The record is from RefSeq and is a predicted model, not a curated record.